GACGAACGCUGGCGGCGUGCUUAACACAUGCAAGUCGAACGGAAAGGCCCUGCUUUUGUGGGGUGCUCGAGUGGCGAACGGGUGAGUAACACGUGAGUAACAUGCCCUUGACUUUGGGAUAACUUCAGGAAACUGGGGCUAAUACCGGAUAGGAGCUCCUGCUGCAUGGUGGGGGUUGGAAAGUUUCGGCGGUUGGGGAUGGACUCGCGGCUUAUCAGCUUGUUGGUGGGGUAGUGGCUUACCAAGGCUUUGACGGGUAGCCGGCCUGAGAGGGUGACCGGCCACAUUGCGACUGAGAUACGGCCCAGACUCCUACGGGAGGCAGCAGUGGGGAAUAUUGCACAAUGGGCGGAAGCCUGAUGCAGCAACGCCGCGUGCGGGAUGACGGCCUUCGGGUUGUAAACCGCUUUCGCCUGUGACGAAGCGUGAGUGACGGUAAUGGGUAAAGAAGCACCGGCUAACUACGUG
This 468-nucleotide ribosomal RNA is filed under the name uncultured bacterium. RNAcentral describes it as "partial 16S ribosomal RNA". It matches the Rfam family "Bacterial small subunit ribosomal RNA", at positions 28 to 507 of the family's 1533-position model. The record is from RNAcentral.